CGGGGUGCAGCAGGCGCGAAAACUCUACAAUGCAGGCAACUGCGAUAGGGGAACAUCGAGUGAUCCUCAUAUUGGGGGUCUGUCCACCCGCCUAAAAAGCGGGUGUUAGCAAGGGCCGGGCAAGACCGGUGCCAGCCGCCGCGGUAAUACCGGCGGCUCGAGUGGUGGCCGAUAUUAUUGAGUCUAAAGGGUCCGUAGCCGGCUUUGCAAGUCUCUCGGGAAAUCCAGCGGCUUAACCGUUGGUCGUCCGGGGGGUACUACAUUGCUUGGGACUGGGAGAGGUAGGAGGUACUCAGGGGGUAGGAGUGAAAUCCUGUAAUCCUUUGGGGACCACCGGUGGCGAAGGCGUCCUACCAGAACAGGUCCGACGGUGAGGGACGAAAGCUAGGGGCACGAACCGGAUUAGAUACCCGGGUAGUCCUAGCCGUAAACGAUGCUCGCUAGGUGUCACAACAGUCGUGAGCUGUUGUGGUGCCGUAGGGAAGCCGUGAAGCGAGCCACUUGGGAAGUACGACCGCAAGGUUGAAACUUAAAGGAAUUGGCGGGGGAGCACAAGGGCAAUUCGCG
RNAcentral lists this ribosomal RNA (567 nucleotides) under uncultured archaeon. Its description in RNAcentral is "bacterial SSU rRNA". It matches the Rfam family "Archaeal small subunit ribosomal RNA", at positions 326 to 899 of the family's 1478-position model. The record is from RNAcentral.